CCCGCGCUUUCUCCCGCAGUACUGGGCCGCUGCUGCCGCGCACUGCCUGCUUUGGCCGAGACGAGCCCCCCGUUUCGCUCCCAUCUCGCGACACUCUGCCCACAGCUCACUCGCCUCCGUCUCUCCCCGUCAAAAAAGCCACCCCCGUCCCCCGCGCCGCGCCACCCGCCUUUGGCCUCUGGCUGGCACCCUUUCCCCCGCCUAGAAACCCGAGCUCUCCCUCUAGCCUUCUGCCGCACACUUCCGAGUUCCGAGUUCCUUCCGCCACAACAUCCACACGCAAACCUCGCGAUGGCCGCGUCGGAAUCCGUGCCGUUCUGCGUCAAAGGGGGCGGGGGCGGCGGCGGCGGCGCGCCCAGGCCGCACGGCCACCUGGUGCUCCCGGCGGGGCGGGUCCGCGAGGGGCUUGCGUUCGCGGCGGGCGCCGUGGUGGCCGCUCUCGUGCUCCUCUCCUCGGCCUCCGUCCUCGCGCCGCCGCCCGUGCCCAACAUCGUCUCCCUCCCCCUGUCGUCGUCGUCGCCCGCCAACGCCAACGCCAAAGCCGCCAUCUCUUCCUCCCCUGCCGUGGCCGUCGGCGAGGGCCCGCGCACGUUCUACGACGACAGGGAGCUGUCGUACGCCGUCGGGGGGCGGCGCGUCACGGGCUGGGACGCGAAGCGCGCGGCGUGGCUGCGGACACGGGGCCUGGACGGCGCGGCGGUCGCGGGGCGGGUGGUGAUGGUGACCGGGUCGCAGCCGGAGCCAUGCAAGGGGCCGGGGGGCGACCACGCGCUGCUGCGGUUCCUCAAGAACAAGCUGGACUACUGCCGCCUCCACGGGAUCGAGCUCCUGUACAACACCGCGCUGCUGGAGCCGUCCAUGGUGGCGUACUGGGCCAAGAUCCCCAGCGUGCGCGCCGCGAUGCUGGCGCACCCGGACGCCGAGUGGGUGUGGUGGGUGGACGCCGACGCCGUGUUCACGGACAUGGACUUCUCCCUCCCGCUGGAGCGGUACCGCGAGAGCAGCCUGGUGGUGUACGGGUGGGAGCGGGAGGUGUACGAGGAGCGGUCGUGGGUGGGGCUCAACGCCGGCGUCUUCCUCAUCCGCAACUGCCAGUGGUCGCUGGACCUCAUGGACGCGUGGGCGCGCAUGGGCCCGGCCUCGCCGGAGUACGCGCGGUGGGGGAAGACGCUGCGCGAGGAGCUGGAGGGGAAACCCAACGACGAGUCGGACGACCAGUCGGCGCUCGUGUACCUCCUGUCCAGGCACCUGGAGCGGGAGCGGUGGGCGAACGCCACGUUCCUCGAGUCCGGGUACUACUUCCAGGGGUACUGGGCGGAGAUCGUGGACAGGCUCGACGGCGUGGCCACGCGGUACGAGGCCGUGGAGCGCGGCCGCGCAGGGGGCCGGGCCGGGCUCCGCCGCCGCCACGCGGAGCGGGAGCACCUCCUGUACGCGGCGGCGCGGCGUCAGGCGGUGCGGCAGCAGCGAGGGACCGGCGGAGGCGUGCCCGGGCCGGACGGCGGCGGGCAGAAGGGCUGGCGCCGCCCCUUCGUGACGCACUUCACGGGGUGCCAGCCCUGCGGCGGCGCGCCCAACCGGAUGUACACGCGGAGGCGGUGCGCCGAGGGGAUCCGCCGCGCGCUGGCGUUCGCGGACGAUCAGGUGCUCCGCUCCUACGGCUUCCGACACGCCGCGCCGCUCAGCGACAGCGUCACGCCGCUGCCGUUCGACUACCCCGCCGCGCACUGAUGGGCGGCCGCUUCGGUGGGCGGUGGGUUCGGCAACUGGCUAUGGCUAGGUUAAUUAAAUGAGACAAAACCAUGAAUGCAAUGCAAUGUGUCAAGUCACAGUGUGUGUACUAUACAUUUUGGAUUUGGGUGUCAUCCAUAUUCGUCCAAAGACUGAAACAGUGAAACCACUGUGUGGUCUUCGUGUUCGUCGGUACUUUUAGGAAAUGUACAGCGUGUCUUGUCUUUUCCCUACACUCUCUCGCUGUUGUUGUCGUCAUGUAUCAACCCAACUUGUCAUCUCUAUCUUCGCCUCCCUCACCAAGGUUAUUUCUCACCAUAUAGAGGACAUCCACCUUUGCUCCUCGGCGAUCCUCUUGACCCGCUGUUACAACUCUCUGCUGGCAUGCACCUCUGCAGACACCAGAGCAAAACAUCCGAGAAAGAGGAGCCACUGCCGCCGGUGAUGUAUGCAGCCAUGGAGAAGAGAAAGAGGAGGUGAUCUAGAACUCGAGUUUCGUUUGCAUAUAGUAUGUGCUUGUGUGGCUCGGCUUUUUCAGAUAACCUUUUUUUGAGAAUUUGGGUGUGACGAGAAGAGGAGAAUCUAAGUAUUCUGGAGAUUACGUGUGGAGAAAGUUAAAAGAGUUUAUAGAAUUCUACUAUCGCAACGAUUCAACC
RNAcentral lists this unclassified non-coding RNA (2387 nucleotides) under Zea mays. RNAcentral describes it as "misc RNA Zm00001eb197700". Lineage: Eukaryota; Viridiplantae; Streptophyta; Magnoliopsida; Poales; Poaceae. The record is from RNAcentral.